RNAcentral lists this ribosomal RNA (259 nucleotides) under uncultured Sphingomonadales bacterium. RNAcentral describes it as "partial 16S ribosomal RNA". It matches the Rfam family "Bacterial small subunit ribosomal RNA", at positions 524 to 783 of the family's 1533-position model. The record is from RNAcentral. Lineage: Bacteria; Pseudomonadati; Pseudomonadota; Alphaproteobacteria; Sphingomonadales.
UACGGAGGGAGCUAGCGUUGUUCGGAAUUACUGGGCGUAAAGCGCACGUAGGCGGCUUUGUAAGUUAGAGGUGAUAGCCUGGAGCUCAACUCCAGAAUUGCCUUUAAGACUGCACCGCUUGAAUCCAGGAGAGGUGAGUGGAAUUCCGAGUGUAGAGGUGAAAUUCGUAGAUAUUCGGAAGACACCAGUGGCGAAGGCGUCUCACUGGACUGGUAUUGACGCUGAGGUGCGAAAGCGUGGGGAGCAAACAGGAUUAGAU